This 468-nucleotide ribosomal RNA is filed under the name uncultured microorganism. RNAcentral describes it as "bacterial SSU rRNA". It matches the Rfam family "Bacterial small subunit ribosomal RNA", at positions 9 to 524 of the family's 1533-position model. The record is from RNAcentral.
GAGUUUGAUCAUGGCUCAGAAUGAACGCUGGCGGCAUGCCUAACACAUGCAAGUCGAACGAAGGCUUCGGCCUUAGUGGCGCACGGGUGCGUAACGCGUGGGAAUCUGCCCUUGGGUUCGGAAUAACAGUUAGAAAUGACUGCUAAUACCGGAUGAUGUCGUAAGACCAAAGAUUUAUCGCCCAAGGAUGAGCCCGCGUAGGAUUAGCUAGUUGGUGGGGUAAAGGCCCACCAAGGCGACGAUCCUUAGCUGGUCUGAGAGGAUGAUCAGCCACACUGGGACUGAGACACGGCCCAGACUCCUACGGGAGGCAGCAGUGGGGAAUAUUGGACAAUGGGCGAAAGCCUGAUCCAGCAAUGCCGCGUGAGUGAUGAAGGCCUUAGGGUUGUAAAGCUCUUUUACCCGGGAUGAUAAUGACAGUACCGGAGAAUAAGCUCCGGCUAACUUCGUGCCAGCAGCCGCAGUAAC